UCCCUGGUGGCUUAGAUGGUAAAGAAUCUGCCUGCAACCCAGGAGUCCUGGGUUUGAUCCCUGGCUUGGGAU
Ovis aries (sheep) is the source of this 72-nucleotide transfer RNA. It matches the Rfam family "tRNA". Rfam says of the family: Transfer RNA (tRNA) molecules are approximately 80 nucleotides in length. The record is from Rfam. Lineage: Eukaryota; Metazoa; Chordata; Mammalia; Artiodactyla; Bovidae.